This 1482-nucleotide long non-coding RNA is filed under the name Coffea arabica (coffee). RNAcentral's name for it is "long non-coding RNA (CARA_LNC000489)". The record is from RNAcentral. Lineage: Eukaryota; Viridiplantae; Streptophyta; Magnoliopsida; Gentianales; Rubiaceae.
AGAAGUACCAAAGCCCGUAACAUCCCCAAGCAGAAAGGAAUGGUAAGAGUAGACGAACACCCUCCAAAACAAUGUACUAGCCUUUGAUCUGACAAUAGAGACCUUAAGUCUUCGCCACACCUCCAAGUCACUGGAAGCCUAGACUCGCAAAAAAUAAUAUAGUAAAUUAAAGAACAGAGAGAAAAUCAUUUUUCAAGAAAAUGAAAAAAAAAAUAGAAAAAAAAAGGUUGGGAAAGAGAAAAGCUCAUCCAAAAUCUUAUCACAAAACCAAAUAGCAGGGAUCCCAAACAUGGCCAAUAGUCCCCGUUCAAGCUUCCCUAAAAUCAAGACAACAGAUAGAAACCGUCACCAAAUACCCCCAGUGAAUUUUCCAGGAAAGAGAACAAAGACCACGUUGGCAAGAAAAACUCCCAAUUUAAUUCAAAUCCAUCCAAAUGAAAGCUCUUCUACCCUCCGCAAACCAGAAGUCCACUAUUCCUGAAAGACGACAUCAAAAGAACCAGAACCAGAGGAAACGAAAUCUUGAAACAUCACCAAGAUCGGAACAAACAGUAAAGCAACUGCCUAUAGCAAUGCAACAAUGAUGCAGAAAGCAAAACUCCAGAUUACAGAUUACAUUCACAUCCAUCCAAUAAUUUUUAAGAAUCAUCACCUCAAAAGCCCAUAUUCAGUCACCACCCUCAGUAGAAUUCUGCAAGUGAGUGAAAACAUGAAUAGCCAACAAAGACUUGAACUUGGCACAAAGAUGAAAUAAAAAUUGUAGAUCAUCUAGAAUAUUAUCAGAACUGACAAAUGUAGCAUUCAAUCUUCUUCAGACCAUGAUGAAUCAGCACCACCAAAAACACUACCUAUAGAGACAUGUUAGAUGACAGAAUUUAAUUCCCGUUAGAUACCAAGCACCGCAGAGCCAUCCCCAAAGAGAAGUCCUGGACUAAGCUAAUCCAUCAAAAUACGAAACACAAGAAAAGAACAAUAGGGUACAAUAACAUAGGUGAAUUGAAUGGACAGAAGACAAUUCAUAGAUGGUUUAGAAAAAAAAAAGUUGAGAAUAAGCAGAGCUAUACACUUGGUUAUACCUCAAUCUAUUUCUCAUGGAUCAGGAAAGUCAACUCUGCAGGGAUUACCACCAGACCAAAUAAUGGAGACAGAAUAAGAAAAGAUUAACAGAAAAAUUAUAUAGUGUCAAAACCCCUAAAUUCCUCGUGCACAAAAGAUAAAUUAGUAUAGGUGAGAAAAUAACUCCCUCCAAAUAAGUUUACUAGCCCUUGAUCCGAGAAUAGAGAGGUAAGUUGAACCACCUUCACUGAAGCCCUAGUAAUAUAGGAAAUUAUAAGACAGAGCAGAUCUACCAUCCAGAGAUCUCUCAAUCAAUUUCAAGGAAACAACAGAAAACAAGUAGGGAAAGGGAGAGCUCCUCCAAAAUCUUUUCGCCCAGAAUAGCACAGUAACAAACAUGAUAACAAUGCUUUGAUCCAAGCUAUC